UAAACUAGGAUUAGAUACCCUAUUAUUCUUAAUGUAAAUUUUAUUAUUAGUAGAAGUUAAGUUCUUGAAAGUAAAAAGAUUUGGCGGUAUUUUAGUCUUUUCAGAGGAACCUGCUCUUUAAACGAUAGUCCACGAUUAGUUAACUUAUUUUUUGUUUGUAUAUCGUCGUAGUUGAUUAUUUUAUAAGAAUAAAAAUGGUCUUUGUCUUUGAGGAGAGAAAUCAGAUCAAGGUGCAGUUUAUAUUUAAGUAGAGGUGGGUUACAAUAAGUUGAUUUAAAUGGAUAAGGGUAUUUAAUGCUUUUUGAAGGUGGAUUUGAAAGUAAUUUUAUUUAUUUUGAUAAAAUGAUUUAGCUCUAAAAUAUGUACAUAUCGCCCGUCACUCUCAUGAAAAUUGAGAUAAGUCGUAACAUAGUAGGUGUACUGGAAAGUGUACCUGGCUUGGCAAGUUAGAGCUUUAAUAAGCGUUUUAUUUACACUAAGGAGUUGAUUUUUAUUUAAUUUAGUGAAUUUAGUUGGUUAUUAUUUUAAAGUUGACUUUUUUGUUUGAAAAAAAUAUUUUGUUUAUUUACUUAUAUGGAAUAUAUUAUUAUAAUUUUAUAGUACUGUGAGGGAAAUUUUUUAAGUAUUUAUAAGAAGUUAAUUUGAUGUACCUUGUGUAUCAGGGCUUAUUAAUAAAUAAUUAUGUAUUUAGUUUUCCCGAAUUUUAAAGAGUUAAUUUAAUUUAUGUUUUAUUGUGGAAUAAAUAUUCUUAAUAUUAAAUUAGAAGUGAAAUGUUAUUCGGUUUUUAAUAUAUCUGGUUUCCUAAGAAAUGAAUUUAAUUCAUUUUUUAAUAAUAAAUUNGGUUUUUUUUUUAAUUUAUUUAUUUUAAAUUGAAAUAUAUAAAGGGAUAAUCUUUUAUAUAAAUUUUUAUAAGUUUUUGUAUUUUCUUUUUAAGUAGGAUUAGAAAUUUCUUUCUUUAGUUUAUUAUAAUUAUUAAGGGUUAUUAUUUUAUUUAUUUUUACUUUAAUUUUUUUAUUGGGAAUAUUUAAUUAAUUUUGUUUAUUUGUUAUAAUGAUUAGAUUAGUAUAAAUUUUUGUAUAUUUAUUUUAUUGUUUAGCUAAUAAAAAGGAAUUAGGCAAUUUAUUCUUUUUGCCUGUUUAUUAAAAACAUGUCUUUUUGAUUAAAUUUUAAAGUCUGACCUGCCCUAUGAUUAAUUAAAUGGCCGCAGUAUUUUGACUGUGCGAAGGUAGCAUAAUCAUUAGUUUCUUAAUUAGGAACUGGAAUGAAUGGUUUGACAAAAUAGAUUCUGUCUCUUUUUUAAAUUUAGAAUUUUAUUUUUAAGUUAAAAAGCUUAGAUUGAUUUAAAAGACGAGAAGACCCUAUAGAUUUUGACUUUUUUUUAAUAAAUUUUGUUAUGAAUUAUUUUUGGUUUGUUAAGGUAAAGUUUGGUUGGGGUGACUGGAAAAUUUAAUUAACUUUUUUUGUUUAGUUUAUUUAUUUAUAUAAAAUUGAUCCGUUUAUCGAUUAAAAGAUUAAAUUACCUUAGGGAUAACAGCAUAAUUCUUUUGGAGAGCUCUAAUUGAUAAAAGAGAUUGUGACCUCGAUGUUGGAUUAAAGUUAAAUUUUGGUGCAGGAGCUGAGAUUUUGAGUCUGUUCGACUUUUAAAACUUUACAUGAUCUGAGUUCAAACCGGAGA
This 1675-nucleotide ribosomal RNA is filed under the name Lyctus sp. NLG-2014. Its description in RNAcentral is "partial 16S ribosomal RNA". Lineage: Eukaryota; Metazoa; Arthropoda; Insecta; Coleoptera; Bostrichidae. The record is from RNAcentral.